RNAcentral lists this ribosomal RNA (415 nucleotides) under uncultured bacterium. RNAcentral's name for it is "bacterial SSU rRNA". It matches the Rfam family "Bacterial small subunit ribosomal RNA", at positions 93 to 504 of the family's 1533-position model. The record is from RNAcentral.
GAGUGGCGAACGGGUGAGUAAUGUAUCGGAACGUGCCCAGUCGUGGGGGAUAACGCAGCGAAAGCUGCGCUAAUACCGCAUACGAUCUAUGGAUGAAAGCGGGGGACCGUAAGGCCUCGCGCGAUUGGAGCGGCCGAUAUCAGAUUAGGUAGUUGGUGGGGUAAAGGCUCACCAAGCCAACGAUCUGUAGCUGGUCUGAGAGGACGACCAGCCACACUGGGACUGAGACACGGCCCAGACUCCUACGGGAGGCAGCAGUGGGGAAUUUUGGACAAUGGGCGCAAGCCUGAUCCAGCAAUGCCGCGUGCAGGAAGAAGGCCUUCGGGUUGUAAACUGCUUUUGUACGGAACGAAACGGUCCUGGUUAAUACCUGGGGCUAAUGACGGUACCGUAAGAAUAAGCACCGGCUAACUAC